RNAcentral lists this ribosomal RNA (465 nucleotides) under uncultured bacterium. RNAcentral's name for it is "partial 16S ribosomal RNA". It matches the Rfam family "Bacterial small subunit ribosomal RNA", at positions 28 to 507 of the family's 1533-position model. The record is from RNAcentral.
GACGAACGCUGGCGGCGUGCUUAACACAUGCAAGUCGAACGGAAAGGCCCUGCUUGCGGGGUACUCGAGUGGCGAACGGGUGAGUAACACGUGGGUGGUCUGCCCUGCACUUCGGGAUAAGCCUGGGAAACUGGGUCUAAUACCGGAUAGGAGCCAUUUUUAGUGUGAUGGUUGGAAAGUUUUUUCGGUGUAUGAUGAGCUCGCGGCCUAUCAGCUUGUUGGUGUGGUAAUGGCCUACCAAGGCGGCGACGGGUAGCCGGACUGAGAGGGUGGACGGCCACAUUGGGACUGAGAUACGGCCCAGACACCUACGGGAGGCAGCAGUGGGGAAUAUUGCACAAGGGGCGCAAGCCUGAUGAAGCGACGCCGCGGGGGGGAUGACGGCCUUAGGGUUGUAAACUCAUUUCGCUAGGGACGAAGCUUUUUGUGACGGUACCUAGAUAAGAAGCACCGGCUAACUACGUG